CCCCAAAUCAUUGGUGAGCUACCUCCCCACUGCCUUCAUCCUGUGCUGCAGAAAGCCAGGAUCAGGGCAACUAAAAACUGGCAUUAAUAUGUCUGUUUGAGGCCACCACCUCUGUAGGAAUGGGGAUGUAAACCGUUCUAACAUGUUGGGAGAUGUCCUCAGCACAGCUGUUCCUUUCCUCUGCUAAAGGCUGUCCUCGUGCUACUGCUUGUCAAGGCUGGCUCUGCUCCGUGACAGACUCCUUGCGGGCAUCUCUCUUCAGGAAAGGUCACUGAGAUGGUCCUUGCACUGAUUUUGGACUGCAGAGUCACUUGCACUUCCAUUGCUAUGAUUCCAGGCACCAAAUCGGCACAGCUGCAUGACACCAGGGUGAGCUGUACAGCCACUGAAGAACCAUGUUUUGGAAGGAGAAAAGUAAAAUCUUGAUUGCUUACAGUCCCUGAAAUGGAGGUGUGUUUGCCUGAGUAUUGAUGCAUAUUGUCUGAUUAAGGCCAUUUAAGCUGCUUUGUGUUUUUAUUGCUAUAACAUGUUUUUUUUAACCUAUGUACUAGCAUGUUGGUUGCUGUUUCCAAGGCCAUUCUGCCUGAUGCAGAUAUGGCAUUUUGUUAGUGGCUGAAAUUUCUUUUUAGUAUUUGGAGUUUGGAAGAGAGUAAAAGAGGAUGUAACUUGGUCUUCUAUCACUAUCACUAUCACUUGCUG
Molecule: long non-coding RNA, 699 nt
Filed under: Numida meleagris (helmeted guineafowl)
Lineage: Eukaryota; Metazoa; Chordata; Aves; Galliformes; Numididae
Description: lncRNA (ENSNMEG00000016825.1)
Source: RNAcentral